Molecule: long non-coding RNA, 1605 nt
Filed under: Homo sapiens (human)
Lineage: Eukaryota; Metazoa; Chordata; Mammalia; Primates; Hominidae
Description: long non-coding RNA NONHSAT204877.1
Source: RNAcentral
CGAGCGGGAGCAGAAGCAGCGUGACUUUGACCGCAAGCUCCUCCUGGCCAAGUCCAAGAUUGAAAUGGAGGAGACCGACAAGGAGCAGCUGACAGCAGAGGCCAAGGAGCUGCGCCAAAAGGUCAAGUACCUGCAGGAUCAGCUGAGCCCACUCACCCGACAGCGUGAGUACCAGGAAAAGGAGAUCCAGCGGCUCAACAAGGCCCUGGAGGAAGCACUGAGCAUCCAAACCCCGCCAUCAUCUCCACCAACAGCAUUUGGGAGCCCAGAAGGAGCAGGGGCCCUCCUAAGGAAACAGGAGCUGGUCACGCAGAAUGAGUUGCUGAAACAGCAGGUGAAGAUCUUCGAGGAGGACUUCCAGAGGGAGCGCAGUGAUCGUGAGCGCAUGAAUGAGGAGAAGGAAGAGCUGAAGAAGCAAGUGGAGAAGCUGCAGGCCCAGGUCACCCUGUCAAAUGCCCAGCAUUCAAAGAUGAGGAGAAGGCAAGAGAAGCCCUCAGACAGCAGAAGAGGAAAGCAAAGGCCUCAGGAGAGCGUUACCAUGUGGAGCCCCACCCAGAACAUCUCUGCGGGGCCUACCCCUACGCCUACCCGCCCAUGCCAGCCAUGGUGCCACACCAUGGCUUCGAGGACUGGUCCCAGAUCCGCUACCCCCCUCCCCCCAUGGCCAUGGAGCACCCGCCCCCACUCCCCAACUCGCGCCUCUUCCAUCUGCCGGAAUACACCUGGCGUCUACCCUGUGGAGGGGUUCGAAAUCCAAAUCAGAGCUCCCAAGUGAUGGACCCUCCCACAGCCAGGCCUACAGAACCAGUCUCCAAAAAAUGACCGUGAGGGGCCUCAGUGAGACCAGAUUGUGUCAUUUGGCUCCACCUUCAUCUUGCAGAGCCAGCUGAUCUCAGAUUGCCAAGAAACUAGAAGCCACUUGCACGGUGUGGCCAGAGCCUCAGCUGGAUGAGAGGCUGAGAUGGGUGGCCAGCUUGUACACCAGUCCCUGAACUGAGCUGUUUACAGGACUGGGGAGGCUCCACCCAGAAGGCUUUCAUUUGUACUCUGCUGGGAGUGACUGGGAAAAACUCCUUCCCUGCUGCUGAGUGGAGAGAGGCCUCAUCCGGCUUUGACCCACCAUCCGUUGCAGAAGCCUCCAGGAGCAGCAAUCCUAAGAGUGGGAGGCAGCCAAGACCCCCUUCCUUCAAAACCUCCCGGAAGUGGUUUCAGGCCCUCUAGUUGCCAUGACCAAUUUGUGUGUGUGUUUAAUUUUUGCUUCAAGCUCUGUAGCAGGACCUGCCCCACGCACACCCCUACCCCUCUGUGAGGAGCUGUGGGAAGUGUGGGUUUGUCUCCAGAACAGAAGAGAAUGAUGGAUAUUCUGGCUCUGGGGCCCUCUCCACCACCACUCACAGUAGCCUUGCUGAAGCCAUCACAGAUGGGAGAAGGCCAUGCCAGCCACGUCCGCCGAGGGGCGCCAGCCUGAAGCUGCCAGGCCCUGAGGUUCAGACCCUGGACCCCAUAGCUGGAGGCCUGUGGUGCCAGAAGCCCAGAUUAGGGUGGCUGUCCAUCCCUGGAUAGCUAUUUGCACGAAUCAUGGACAUAAAUCCAAGUUGAAGAAGA